This 75-nucleotide transfer RNA is filed under the name Streptomyces aurantiacus. RNAcentral describes it as "tRNA-Ile". It matches the Rfam family "tRNA". Rfam says of the family: Transfer RNA (tRNA) molecules are approximately 80 nucleotides in length. Their secondary structure includes four short double-helical elements and three loops (D, anti-codon, and T loops). Further hydrogen bonds mediate the characteristic L-shaped molecular structure. tRNAs have two regions of fundamental functional importance: the anti-codon, which is responsible for specific mRNA codon recognition, and the 3' end, to which the tRNAs corresponding amino acid is attached (by aminoacyl-tRNA synthetases). tRNAs cope with the degeneracy of the genetic code in two manners: having more than one tRNA (with a specific anti-codon) for a particular amino acid; and 'wobble' base-pairing, i.e. permitting non-standard base-pairing at the 3rd anti-codon position. Lineage: Bacteria; Bacillati; Actinomycetota; Actinomycetes; Kitasatosporales; Streptomycetaceae. The record is from RNAcentral. RNAcentral also lists the same sequence under 3 other names.
GGUUGCGUAGCUCAGUUGGUAGAGCGCCGGUCUUAUAAGCCGUUGAGGUCGCGGGUUCGAGUCCCGCCGCAACCA